Molecule: RNA transcript, 427 nt
Organism: Dipodomys ordii (Ord's kangaroo rat)
Lineage: Eukaryota; Metazoa; Chordata; Mammalia; Rodentia; Heteromyidae
Gene name: ubiquitin-conjugating enzyme E2 D2 pseudogene
Exons: 1
Source: RefSeq, a predicted model, not a curated record
AUGGCUCUGAAGAGAAUCCAAAAGGAAUUGAAUGACCUGGCACGGGAUCCCCCAGCACAAUGUUCAGCCGGCCCUGUUGGAGAUGACAUGUUUCAUUGGCAAGCUAUCAUAAGGGGACCAAAUGACAGUCCCUAUCAGGGUGGAGUAUUUUUCUUGACAAUUCAUUUCCCAACUGAUUACCCCUUCAAACCACCUAAGGUUGCAGUUACAACAAGAAUUUAUCAUCCAAAUAUUAGCAGUAAUGGGAGCAUUUGUCUUGAUAGUCUACGGUCACAGUGGUCUCCAGCACUAACUAUUUCAAAAGUCUCUGUUGUGUGAUCCCAAUCCAGAAGAUCCCGUAGUGCCUGAGAUUGCUCGGAUCUGCUAAACAGAUAGAGAAAAGCACAACAGAAUAGCUCGGGAAUGGACUCAGAAGUAUGCGAUUUAA